This 490-nucleotide ribosomal RNA is filed under the name uncultured bacterium. RNAcentral's name for it is "partial 16S ribosomal RNA". It matches the Rfam family "Bacterial small subunit ribosomal RNA", at positions 30 to 507 of the family's 1533-position model. The record is from RNAcentral.
AUUGAACGCUGGCGGCAGGCCUAACACAUGCAAGUCGAAUGGUAACAGGAAACAGCUUGCUGUUUCGCUGACGAGUGGCGGACGGGUGAGUAAUGUCUGGGAAACUGCCUGAUGGAGGGGGAUAACUACUGGAAACGGUAGCUAAUACCGCAUAACGUCGCAAGACCAAAGAGGGGGACCUUCGGGCCUCUUGCCAUCGGAUGUGCCCAGAUGGGAUUAGCUUGUUGGUGGGGUAACGGCUCACCAAGGCGACGAUCCCUAGCUGGUCUGAGAGGAUGACCAGCCACACUGGAACUGAGACACGGUCCAGACUCCUACGGGAGGCAGCAGUGGGGAAUAUUGCACAAUGGGCGCAAGCCUGAUGCAGCCAUGCCGCGUGUAUGAAGAAGGCCUUCGGGUUGUAAAGUACUUUCAGAGGGGAGGAAGGGAGUAAAGUUAAUACCUGUGCUCAUUGACGUUACCCGCAGAAGAAGCACCGGCUAACUCCGUG